RNAcentral lists this small nuclear RNA (313 nucleotides) under Castor canadensis (American beaver). RNAcentral's name for it is "7SK RNA (ENSCCNG00000004312.1)". It matches the Rfam family "7SK RNA". Rfam says of the family: 7SK was discovered as an abundant small nuclear RNA in the mid-70s but a possible function has only recently been suggested. Two independent studies have found that 7SK RNA binds the CDK9/cyclin T complex (known as elongation factor P-TEFb). P-TEFb activates transcription by phosphorylating the C-terminal domain of RNA polymerase II. Lineage: Eukaryota; Metazoa; Chordata; Mammalia; Rodentia; Castoridae. The record is from RNAcentral.
GGAAAUCACAGGCAAACCUGGCUGUGACAUCUGUCACCCCAUUGAUUGUUAGGGUACCUUCAGCUGAUCUGGCUAGCUAGGCUGGUGGCCUGCCCUCACCACUUCAUGUGUGUCCCUUCCAGAAGCUCUGCACUCUGUUGAAGAAAAGGACCUUCCCUAAGAGAGGAGACCAUCCUGGGACAUGGGUAUAUGAAUGAGUGACUGCACGUCCCUGCUAGAACCUCCACACGAGCUCCUGAGAAAUCAUGGGCAAAAUGAAAGUAAGUGUCAAAAUUGCAACCCACAGGCUCUGAGAUCAUCUGUAGUCCUCACA